Molecule: small nuclear RNA, 105 nt
Organism: Loxodonta africana (African savanna elephant)
Lineage: Eukaryota; Metazoa; Chordata; Mammalia; Proboscidea; Elephantidae
Source: Ensembl
AGAUUAGGCUGGACUAUAAGACAUGAAAUUGGAAUGAUACAGAGAAGAUCAGCACAGCCCCUGUGCAAGGAUGACACGCAAAUUUGUGAAGUGUUCCAUUUUUUU